RNAcentral lists this transfer RNA (74 nucleotides) under Paramuricea clavata. Its description in RNAcentral is "tRNA-Thr". It matches the Rfam family "tRNA". Rfam says of the family: Transfer RNA (tRNA) molecules are approximately 80 nucleotides in length. Their secondary structure includes four short double-helical elements and three loops (D, anti-codon, and T loops). Lineage: Eukaryota; Metazoa; Cnidaria; Anthozoa; Malacalcyonacea; Plexauridae. The record is from RNAcentral.
UACCGUGUAGCUCAGUAGGCAGAGCGUCAAUCUAGUAAUUCGAAGGUCGCGGGUUCGAGACCCAUCCGCGGCAG